Non-coding RNA from Cyanistes caeruleus (blue tit), 949 nucleotides. Lineage: Eukaryota; Metazoa; Chordata; Aves; Passeriformes; Paridae. The record is from RefSeq and is a predicted model, not a curated record.
CAAGUUUUCCUUCAAACUAGUUUAUACAAAGAUACAAGGUAGUUUAAAGUUUAAUAUUUGGUUGUUAGAACAAGCUGUUAUCUAAAAGCUGAUUGUUAUAUAAUUAUUUUGUUCAACUUUACUUCCAUGCUUUAUUUUAGCUGAUUUUCAAACCACUUCUUAGUAAUAAUCCUAUGGUCUCUGUCUGUAUUGCUCGCAGACACACAGACAUGGGUGAGUGUCACCAUUAGAUUGACACAAAUCUCCACUUAAUUUCUCACAACCCUGUUAGAAGCUCAGUUGGGAAAACAAUGGUUCCUCUUUCCUUUGCCUUUUUUCAUUUGGUUUCUUUUGUUUCUUUUUCCCUCUGGGCAGCAUCCAUUUCUCAGAUUAGCUGAGCCUCUCUCCAGCCUCUUCUGACAACCCCAUGGCUGUCAUCCCGGCAGCAAAGUAAUGCAGGAAGCAGAGGGGAUGACGAGGACCACCUGAGCACUUGGAGAACAGAGCCUCUGAGACCAGGCAGAAAUCCUGAGGAGCCAGGGGCCAGGAAACAGGCAGCCAUCAGAGCAGGAAAGGAAGGUGGCAUCUCCUUUUCUCCCAUCUGCUGAUCCUCCUUCUAAAUUUCUGGCCUGUGAGAUGGAAUGUCAGCAUGUGGAGGUGCAGGAGCAGCUGCUGCUGCAAGGAGAAAACUUCCUGGCAGAUGUAGAGAGGGAGCAGGAGAGAUGGAGCAGGAAGUUGGCACCUUGCAAGCUGAACAAGAAGACGUAUGAAGCAGGGCCAGUCAAGAGUCAAAAGGUCACAUGGCCCCUGCCACAAAAAUCUCCACUCCGAGUGCUUUUCAAAUGAAAACGUAGGACACUCGCAGCAAAGCAAUUGAGGAAGCUGAGGACAUGACCAGGAACACUUCAGGAUUACUUUCUCCAAUGCCAGCUAGCAGCAGACUCGCAAUAAAAAUCCUAGAAACCCGCAA